RNAcentral lists this ribosomal RNA (497 nucleotides) under uncultured bacterium. RNAcentral describes it as "partial 16S ribosomal RNA". It matches the Rfam family "Bacterial small subunit ribosomal RNA", at positions 28 to 507 of the family's 1533-position model. The record is from RNAcentral.
GAUGAACGCUGGCGGCGUGCUUAACACAUGCAAGUCGAGCGGACACACCAGAAACUCUCGCUUCUGAUGUUAGCGGCGGGCGGGCGAGUAAGACGUGCGUAACCUACCUAUAAGACUGUGAGAACUUCGGCAAACCGUAGCUAACACCGGAUAAUAGUUUUAACCGCAUGGCUCAAAAGUGCAAGACGAUCUUGCUUUCACUUAUAGAGGGGUCCGCGCUGCAUUAGCUAGUUGGUCGGGUAAGGGCUCACCAAGGCAACGAUGCAUAGCCGACGUGAGAGGGUGGUAAGCCCCACUACAACUGAGCCACGGUCCAGACCCAUACGCGAGGCGGCGGUGGGGAAUCUUACACAAUGCGAGAAGGCCUGGCCGGACACCGCCAAGUGAGUGAUGAGGGUCUUCGGCUAGUAAAUCUCUGUUAUUUGUAAAGAACAUUUGUGUAAGUAACUGUGCACACCUUGACGGUACCUAAUCAGAAAGCACCGGCUAACUCCGUG